UACGAACCGUACGAACGUUAUUCGGAAUCACUGGGCUUAAAGGGUGCGUAGGCGGCAGGGUAAGUUUGAUGUGAAAUCUCCGAGCUUAACUCGGAAACUGCAUUGAAUACUAUUCUGCUCGAGGUUUGGAAGGGGGACUGGAAUUCUCGGUGUAGCAGUGAAAUGCGUAGAUAUCGAGAGGAACACCAGUGGCGAAGGCGAGUCCCUGGACAACACCUGACACUGAGGCACGAAAGCUAGGGGAGCAAACAGG
Molecule: ribosomal RNA, 253 nt
Filed under: uncultured bacterium
Lineage: Bacteria
Description: partial 16S ribosomal RNA
Rfam family: Bacterial small subunit ribosomal RNA
Source: RNAcentral